GAGAGGGGUUAGGCAGGAGGGUGGCCAAGGGAAAGGACGCACUUGGAGCAGGGGGUCUCAUUCCUUGGUCAUCUACCCCUUCCUUCUCCUGCUUUCCUGUGACUAACCGUGUCUCCUCCCUCAUGUCCUCCCUCAUCCCUGUGGCUCUUCUUUCUGCCAUAUGUUGCAUUCUCUAUGGACACACUCACAAGACCCUCAGAGACAAACUAAACCAGGGCAGUUCUGCUCAACCACCAGCAGCCUCUGUGACCUGUUUACCUUACCCAGGAGGGGCAGUUUUUAGGUUUUUUGUUUUUUGUUGUUUUUUUUUUUAAUAGAUUAUUUUUAGAACAGAAAACAAUUCUACAAAAAAACUGAGAAAAUAGCAUAGAGAGUUCCCAUGUAGCUUAUGUCCAGCUUCCCUAUUACUGAUUUCUCGUGUUAACACAGGACAUUGCUGCAAUUACUGAAUGACAUAUUGCUGUCUAAAGUUCAUGUUUUAUUCCGAUUCUCUUAGUGUUUACUAUCACCUGGACCUGUCCCCCUGCCUAUCUGCCGCUUUCUAGCCCUCUUACCUGUUUUCUCUAAUCUCCCACCAAGCGAAAAACGAAUGGAAAAUAAUCAUGAAUUGAUGGUGUGUAUGUCCAGUCUUGUGAGAGAACGUAUGGGAUCAGCAGAUGGUUAUAAAGGAAUCUCCAUGUGCCAGGUGUUUUCAAUAGUCUGGCAGCCAGCCCUCAACUGCUGGACACUCCCCUCCUCAAAGCCAUCACUGAGAAUCCCCUCAUGCUUCCAUCCAGCUUCCCCUAGUAUUAAUAUCUCAAAGAACCAGGGCUGUCUUUUUAGUUAUCUACAAUCUGUGACUGGUUUUCAGACUCUUCUUGUUUUUUAUGACUUGAUACUUUUGAAAAGUACCAGUCAGGUAUUUUGCAGAAUGUCCUUCGAUCUGCAGGCGUGGUGGUGCAUGCCGGUAAUCCCAGUCACUCAGGAGGCUGAGGCAGGAGGAUGGCAAGUUCCAGGUUAGUCUCAGCAACUUAGUGAGACUCUGUCUCAAAGUACAAAAUAAAAAGGGCUGGGAAUGUGACUCAGUGGUGAGUGGCCAUAG
RNAcentral lists this long non-coding RNA (1081 nucleotides) under Marmota monax (woodchuck). The record is from RNAcentral. Lineage: Eukaryota; Metazoa; Chordata; Mammalia; Rodentia; Sciuridae.